RNAcentral lists this ribosomal RNA (253 nucleotides) under uncultured bacterium. Its description in RNAcentral is "partial 16S ribosomal RNA". It matches the Rfam family "Bacterial small subunit ribosomal RNA", at positions 524 to 776 of the family's 1533-position model. The record is from RNAcentral.
UACAGAGGGUACAAACGUUGUUCGGAAUCACUGGGCUUAAAGCGCACGUAGGUGGUUCGGUAAGUGCGAUGUGAAAGCCCCCGGCCCAACCGGGGAACUGCAUCGCAGACUGCCGAGCUUGAGAGCGGUAGGGGAGACUAGAACUCCUGGUGGAGCGGUGAAAUGCGUAGAUAUCAGGAGGAAUACCGGUGGCGAAGGCGAGUCUCUGGUCCGCUUCUGACACUUAGGUGCGAAAGCUAGGGGAGCAAACGGG